CCUUGAGCAUGGACAGCCUGGAUCUGCUGGGUGAAGGGAGAAGUUAUGUCCAGGGUGGGACAGAGAGGAUGGCGAGAGAUUUCCUCACUACUCAGAACAGCGGGAAAUUCAAAACUUAGGGAUUAUUUCUGAAAUUUUCCAUUUAAAAUUGACCAAGUGUAACUGAAACCAGAGAAAGCAAGACUGACGAUAAGGGAGGGGCCUCCUGUACUCCAAGAGCACUGAAUCUGGAAAAACUCAACACAUCGAUGGAGUCAUAUAUUUAAUUUUUUCUUAAAAGCCACCUGUGGGGUAUUGUAGAAACGCUGCGCUGCCUAUCACAGCUUGUGAUGUGACACGUUCAUUCUGCAAGUUUAAACUUCGCCUAGCUUUUCAAAGGAGAAUAAAUACCAAGUAUCUGGUUAGAACUCUGACCUCUUUGCAGAACACAAAGCUGGAGCUGAAGCUCACCCCCACCCCCACUCACUCCCGUGGUUAACAGAAUAUUAAACCUGAAAAGUACAUUUUAAAAAAAGAAUGAAAAGUAAAAAUGUUUGGGAAGUUUUCUGGAAACUAAAGAGCUAAGAAUUCUUAAAGGAUCUGGAAAGCUGUGUUUUCAUACUUCAGUUUGAUGCAUGGAUUUUCAGUUUAAAAGCCUUUUGCAUAAAAACAUUAAAGUCUCCUUCUAAGGGAUCGGUUCUUGGGGAAAAGCUGUGCUUCAGAGACAAGGUUGAAGAACUUCGCCUGCAUAUGAUGGAAGAUGACAAUGGGAACCACAGGUGUCAUUGGUGGC
Molecule: small RNA, 772 nt
Filed under: Pan troglodytes (chimpanzee)
Lineage: Eukaryota; Metazoa; Chordata; Mammalia; Primates; Hominidae
Description: processed transcript
Source: RNAcentral